GACGAACGCUGGCGGCGUGCUUAACACAUGCAAGUCGAACGGUAAGGCCCUUCGGGGUACACGAGUGGCGAACGGGUGAGUAACCCGUGGGUGAUCUGCCCUCCACCUUGGGAUAAGCAUGGGGAACUGGGUCUAAUACCGGAUAGUACCAUGGACUUCACGGUUCGUGGUGGAAAGAUCUUGCGGAGUGGGAUGGGCCCGCGGCCUAUCAGCUUGUGGGUGGGGUAAUGGCCGACGAAGGGGACGACGGGUAGCCGGCCUGAGAGGGUGUCCGGCCACACUGGGACUGUGAUACGGCCCAGACGCCUACGGGAGGCAGCAGUGGGGAAUAUUGCACAAUGGGCGCAAGCCUGAUGCAGCGACGCCGCGUGGGGGAUGACGGCCUUCGGGUUGUAAACCUCUUUCAGUGGGGACGAAGCGCAAGUGACGGUACCUACAGAAGAAGCACCGGCCAACUACGUGCCAGCCGCCGCCGUAA
Molecule: ribosomal RNA, 478 nt
Filed under: uncultured bacterium
Lineage: Bacteria
Description: partial 16S ribosomal RNA
Rfam family: Bacterial small subunit ribosomal RNA
Source: RNAcentral